Molecule: long non-coding RNA, 2560 nt
Organism: Gorilla gorilla gorilla (western lowland gorilla)
Lineage: Eukaryota; Metazoa; Chordata; Mammalia; Primates; Hominidae
Exons: 3
Source: RefSeq, a predicted model, not a curated record
GCCUGCUGGCCUCCUGGGUUUACGGUGUCACUGCGGCCAGGGCUGGGGGAACAGGACGUCUAGAAGACGGUGUGAGAUACUGGAGGGCCAGAGAAAGCAAGCUUGAAACAGAGAGGAACGGGUCACUUUGGUGGAGGAAAUUGGGACUGAGUCUCGCUCUGUUGUCCAGGCUGGAGUGCAAUGACACGAUCUUGGCUUACUGCAACGUCCGCCUCCCGGGUUCAAGUGAUUCUCCUGCCUCAGCCUCUUGAGUAGCUGGGAUUAUAGGCAUGCGCCACCACCCCCAGCUAAUUUUUGUAUUUUUAGUAGAGACGGGGUUUCACCAUGUUGGUCAGGCUGGUCUCGAACUCCUGACCUUGUGAUCUGCCUGGCUCAGACUCCCAAAGUGCUGGGAUUACAGGCGUGAGCCACUGCGCCUGGCCAGAAUUUUUAAUGAUAAUGUUUGCUUUUUGUUAAUGUGCUUUUAUUUUAUACAGGGAAGUCAUCUGAAAAGACUUGAGUUUGAAAGUUGCCUCCCUUACUUAACAGAUAUGUAACCUUGGCAAGUUACUUAACCUCCUUGGGUCUCAAUAUCUUCACCUGUAAAAUGGCAGUAAUAUCUUUCUCAUAGAUUUGUUGGGAUAAUUAAACUAAUAUACUAUAUGUAUGGUUACAGUACUUGGUUAUAAAUAUUAAAGCCUCAUUCUGUCUGUUGAUAAAUCUGAAAUCUAUUUAAACUCUGAUGUGCUCUCUGUAAUGUUGUUUUUUGUUUUGUUUUUUUGAGAUGGAGUUUCACUCUGUCGCCCAGGCUGGAGUGCAGUGUGGCGUGAUCUCGGCUCACUGCAACCUCCGCCUCCCGGGUUUCAAGUGUUUCUCGUGCCUUAGCCUCCCGGGUAGCUGGGAUUGAAUGGAAUGUAUUUUAUAGAUCAAGUCUCAGCACAAACACUGAUUCCUCCAAGAAGCAUUCAUUAAUUCCCCACCCAGUACUCCUGAUUUCACUAGUCACAGCAUCUAACCCACUAUAUUGUAUUUUCCUGUUUGUCUCUCCUUUUAGACUAAGUUCUGUGAGGUAAGGCUCUUGUUUACUUCUGUUUUUCCACUGCCAAGUACGUUGCCUGGCUAAACAAAUAUUUGAAUAAACUGAACCUGUUUUUAAAGCAAUGGUAAACAUAACACAGCAACAUUACAAAACUAAUUUCUGAAUUGUAUGACAUUGUUUUUUACAACGUAGUCUUCUAGCAAGAUGGCAUUUCUCACUAUCAUGUUUUUAAUUUGCAUCUAAUUAUUGAAUUGGAUCCAGAGAUGUGGUCCAAUUACUUGUUAACUUUUGUCACCUGACCUGUCCCCGCAAAUUAUAUUUUAUAAGUGUGGCAGAGACCACUCAUUCUCAUCAUCCUGUCUCUUCUUCCUUUUAAUAAUAUGACUCUGCUACCCUGCUAUCCACACACUAAAUCUUAGCAGGGUGCAUGGCUGCCAGCUAGACACUACACUGUCCAGUCUGUCUUGCAAUUAGAGGUGGUCCCAUAACUAUGUUCUGGUCAAUGGUGUGUGAGUGAAGCAAUGUGUGUAACUUCUGGGUCAUGUCUUUAAAAAGGAAAGGUAGUUGCUCUCUCACUCUUUCAUCCUUCUGCUUGCUAUGACAUGGUGACACAUUAAGCAGCCACCAUGGACCCAGAGAUGCAAGCCUUUUCUACCAAAGACCAUCUACUCCAUAUAUCUCUGUACUAUUACUUUAUUUGAAGUAAGAGGCUCACUAUAUUUGUGGGUUUCUUUGUUACAGCAGCAUGGCUAACAUCCUUUGAAUGAAAAUUAAGAUAACCAUAUAAUUCAUUAAAUCCCUUAGCCUACUCUGAAGAAUGUUUUCAAGGAGUGCAAAAAAAAACCAACUUUCAAUGAAAAUAGAGUUUACUGAAGUCACUUAUUCAAUGGCAUUUUGUGAAAAACUAUGAAAUUUAUUCUAUCAUGAGCAUAUUCAAAGUUCUUGUAGGUUUAUAAACAUACUAGCUCUUCUAUUUAGCGUUACUUUUUAUCAUAACUUGGAAAUCCCAGAUAGAUUAUGUGGUAGCCUCCAAGAUGGCCUCAUUGACCCUCCUCUCUUGGUAUUCAUGCCCUUUGUGUUUUCUCUUCCUACACUGAAUGAUAGCUGGCCCAUGUAACAAACACAAUACUGUGGAAGUGACAUGUGUAACUUCUAACAUGAAAUCAUAAGAGACAUUGCAGUUUCCACCAUGGUCUCUCUCUUGGAUCUCUUGCCAGCCACCAAGCAGCCCUAUGGAGAGGCCAAUGUGGAGAGAAACUGAGGCCUUCCACCAAAAGCCAGCACCAACUUGCUAUCCAUGUGAGUGAACCAGCUUGCAGUACAGAGUGGUCAACCCCAGUCAAGCUUUCAGAUAACUACAAGCCUAGUUGACAUCUUGACUACAACUUCAAGAGAGAUAUCAAGGCAGAACUGCUUCGCUAAACUGCUCUUGAAUUCUUGACCCACAGAAACUGAGAGAGAAUAAAUAUUUAUUGUUGUUUCAAGUAACUACAUUCUGGGGGUAACUUCUUAUGUAUAGAUAAUAUAUACCAUAAAUUUCUU